Molecule: ribosomal RNA, 468 nt
Filed under: uncultured bacterium
Lineage: Bacteria
Description: partial 16S ribosomal RNA
Rfam family: Bacterial small subunit ribosomal RNA
Source: RNAcentral
GACGAACGCUGGCGGCGUGCUUAACACAUGCAAGUCGAACGGAAAGGCCCUGUUUGUGUUGCGUGCUCGAGUAGCGAGCGGGUGAGUAACACGUGAGUAACCUGCCCCUGCCUUUGGGAUAACUUCAGGAAACUGGGGUUAAUACCGGAUAGGAGUUCCUGCUGCAUGGUGGGGGUAGGAAAGUGUCGGCGGUUGGGGAUGGACUCGCGGUUUACCAGCUUGUUGGGGGGGUGGUUGCUUACCAAGGCUUUGCCGGGCGGCCGGCCUGAGGGGGUGACCGGCCACAUUGGACCUGGGAUACGGCCCGGCCUCCUACGGGGGGCAGCAGUGGGAAUUUUGCAACAAUGGGCGGAGGCCUGAUGAGGCAAGGCCGCGGGGGGAAGGACGGCUUUGGGGUGGUAACCCCUUUUCGCAGGUGACGAGCCGGGAGUGACGGUACUUGGUGAAGAAGCACCGGCUAACUACGUG